This 963-nucleotide long non-coding RNA is filed under the name Hordeum vulgare. RNAcentral's name for it is "long non-coding RNA (HVUL_LNC014329)". The stretch from base 594 to 717 matches the Rfam family "MIR1120/MIR1122 microRNA precursor family". Lineage: Eukaryota; Viridiplantae; Streptophyta; Magnoliopsida; Poales; Poaceae. The record is from RNAcentral.
AUGGAACUACCCGAUGUCAGGACAAGGGUGUUAAGAUAAGGUGUUUGAUCAGAGGAGCAUAAUAGCAUGUAUACGUGUGUCAUUAGUGAUAAACAUAUUUUCAUAUUAUAUAAUAUGGGCUCCCUAUGGUUACGGAUCAAUAAAAUAGAGAGGGCUUUUUUUGUUAGCGUACAUGACUUGGUCCUCAACUACAACUCACUCAGCUGCACACGACUCCCUAUAAUCUUCUACAUGAGAUACAGAAUAAUAGGGCUCUUGGGUGUGUACAACAUGUAGGAGUACCCUCGAGAUAGUAACAAUGUGUGCUGCUAGUAUCUCUUCAACCCGGUUGUUCAUGCUCCUUAAAUUUCCUGGAAAAAAUAUCAAUCCCAUUCGUAGUUAUCAGUCCAGGUUUACAUCAGGAUAUCCAUUAUAACAAAACCAAAUAACUAAAUUUCUGAACAAAAUUAGUAGAUUUAUACAAAAGUAUAGAAUACAACAUAGAAACAUUGGCUUUCAAGAAUUAUAUGGGUUAAAACUGAAUUAAACUAUGUUUUGAGGAAAUGGAUAGCCACUAAAUCACUUUGUCCAAUCAAAUUUGGAUGGGUUCAUACUAAAUACUCCCUCUGUCCGAAAUACUUGUUAUAAGGAUGGAUGUCUCUAGAUGUAUUUUAGUUCUAAAUACAUCCACUUUUAUCCAUUUUUGGGAGAAGUAAUUCCGGACGGAGGGAGUAUGUACCUAUCAUCAAAGUGUCCUGCGGUAUAGUGGGCACCUAAUAGUACAAGCUACCUGUUGAGAGAAAUUAAGCUAUGGAAUCUCUAUGAAGAACAGAUCAUAAGUGAUGGGAGGUCGAACCUUGCGACUUGACAAAAAUUUCGCAGUUCAUCUUCUGUUGUUGAGCACACAGUAGGACACCUCGAAUAGCUGAAACCUUUCAAGCUACAAAAUUUGAAAAAUGUAGGGAUGAGUCAUGCCUCUGUUGU